AAGAGCUAUUUCUUCUAUGGCCUCAGGUUCGUUUUGUUUUUAAAUAAUAGUUUACUCUUUUGCAACACAGAACUCAUUGCUCAGUAUGAGUUUUGAUACAUAUAAGAAGGAACAUG
RNAcentral lists this small nucleolar RNA (116 nucleotides) under Myotis davidii. RNAcentral describes it as "Small nucleolar RNA SNORA40". The stretch from base 35 to 116 matches the Rfam family "Small nucleolar RNA SNORA40". From Rfam's summary of the family: The snoRNA ACA 40 belongs to the H/ACA family of snoRNAs and guides the pseudouridylation of 28S rRNA subunit at position U4565. The record is from Rfam by way of RNAcentral. Lineage: Eukaryota; Metazoa; Chordata; Mammalia; Chiroptera; Vespertilionidae.